GAUUCUGAGGCAACAGUGGAUAUUGGUAUAGCUAAGACAUCCCUAGCUACUUUUGAAAGGAUAGGAAAUCUUUCAGCAUUCAGCUUCCACCAUCUAAGUAUAUCAAAGGCCCCAUCAUC
Ipomoea nil (Japanese morning glory) is the source of this 119-nucleotide long non-coding RNA. RefSeq lists it as uncharacterized. The transcript has 3 exons. NCBI's taxonomy places the organism in Eukaryota, Viridiplantae, Streptophyta, Magnoliopsida, Solanales, Convolvulaceae. The record is from RefSeq and is a predicted model, not a curated record.